AACAUACUCCCUCCGUCCCAAAAUUCUUAUCUUAAAUUUAUCUAGAUAUGUACGUAUUUAACACUAAAAUGUAAAUAGAUAUAUCUGUAUGUAGAUAAAUCUAAAACAAGAAUUUUAGGACGGAGAGAGUACUUA
This is a non-coding RNA of Triticum aestivum (bread wheat), 135 nucleotides long. The record is from Rfam. NCBI's taxonomy places the organism in Eukaryota, Viridiplantae, Streptophyta, Magnoliopsida, Poales, Poaceae.